This 497-nucleotide ribosomal RNA is filed under the name uncultured bacterium. RNAcentral describes it as "partial 16S ribosomal RNA". It matches the Rfam family "Bacterial small subunit ribosomal RNA", at positions 28 to 523 of the family's 1533-position model. The record is from RNAcentral.
GAUGAACGCUGGCGGCGUGCUUAACACAUGCAAGUCGAACGAAGCACCUUAUUCUGAUUUCUUCGGAAUGAAAAAUUUGGUGACUGAGUGGCGGACGGGUGAGUAACGCGUGGGUAACCUGCCGCAUACAGGGGGGUAACAGUUAGAAAUGACUGCUAAUACCGCAUAAGACCACAGCACCGCAUGGUGCAGGGGUAAAAACUCCGGUGGUAUGAGAUGGACCCGCGACUGAUUAGGUAGUUGGUGGGGUAACAGCCUACCAAGCCGACGAUCAGUAGCCGACCUGAGAGGGUGACCGUCCACAUGUGUACUGAGACACGGCCCAAACUCCUACGGGAGGCAGCAGUUGGGAAUAUUGCACAAUGGGGGAAACCCUGAUGCAGCGACGCCGCGUGAGCGAUGAAGUAUCUCGGUAUGUAAAGCUCUAUCAGCAGGGAAGAAAAUGACAGUACCUGACUAAGAAGCACCGGCUAAAUACGUGCCAGCCGCCGCCGUAA